Long non-coding RNA from Anolis sagrei ordinatus, 1564 nucleotides. RefSeq lists it as uncharacterized. The record is from RefSeq and is a predicted model, not a curated record. Lineage: Eukaryota; Metazoa; Chordata; Lepidosauria; Squamata; Anolidae.
UCCCUCUGCUCUCCUCCUCCUCCUGCCAUGCCUGGGGAAGAGGAGAGCUUUCUUCAUUCCAGGCUUGAGGGUUGUCUUCUGCCAGAGGAUCAUGGCGAGGAAGAGCCAACACUGGGCCGGCGGUGGCAGGGACAGCCCAGUGGUUUCCAUGGCAAUGUGGCUUGCCACUCCUCCCCGCGCCCUCCAUCUCCUCCUCCAUCCUCCCCCCUCCAACUCUUCCUUCUCCUCCUCAGGCUACACCGCUUGGGCUGCCGAGGGCAAAGAGGCGGGCAGCUGCCUGCCCGCAGGAGCGGAGCACCCGAAGCAGUUUCUGCUGCUGCACCCCUCUGCCACCGCUUGGCUCCCUCUAUCAGGCUUCAGUCUCCCUGAGGGGCUCCUCCACUCCAUGCCCACCUUGGUGGUGGCAGCAGAGGAAAAGGAAGCGGCAACAUGAGGGAGCUACUGGGCGACGGAGAGGAGGAGGAGGAGAAGCUGCCUGAAAGACUUGAGGCUUUUGCUUGACACCCUUGCCAAACCUGUAGGCGUUUGGAGAGCGAGGAAAGGCAGCAAUGGCUCAUACCAAGCAAACUGCUUGCAAGUCCAUCGGCGGGAAGGCUCCCCGCAAGCAGCUGGCGACGGAAGUGGCUCGGAAGAGCGCCCCGGCCACCGGGGGAGUGAAGAAGCCUCACCGCUACCGCCCGGGCACUGUGGCCUUGCGGGGGAUCCGCCGCUACCAGAAGUCCACCGAUCGAACAAGCAUUUGAUUAAACAGUGUAAUUGAACAUAGGAAUACAGAAUAAUGGAUGACAAGACUGGAUUCUGAUUUUACUGUUGAGGCGCUAAUGAUUGUUAUACUGAUGUUAAUGAUUUAUGUGAUAAUUGAUUUUAAUUGCCCUAUACUUGUUUUGUGAUAUUUUGUACUGAUGUUGUUCACCGCUUUGAGUCGCCUGAGGGCUGAGAAAAGCGGUAUAGAAAUAAAGUAAAUAAAAUAAAAUAAUAUACCUGGCAUAUUAGAAGACCCCCAACUUCUGAGAGGAUUUUCCAAAGUUUAAAAGUCAUCUUACAUGCCGGAAAAUACGGUAGAUGGUUUUGGAAUUUGAAAGAUUUUGUAAUUCCAGACAACAAUUGCUCAACCUGCAAUGCCCUGUUCAAUUGUUUUGUGAAUGUCAGUUAUAUGUUUACACAGAUGGUGAGUCCUUUUUUAAUUUAACUUUUAUAAUUUGGUAUUCAUCUUCCUGAGAAUGAGAUAAGGACCACAUUAUAUUGCUUUCCUAUUCUUUUUUUUUAAAAAAACAACAACAUUACAGUUUGAAAUUAGGAGUGGGCAAAGUGAAGACACAUCCAGUCCCACAAGACUGUAUUUACAGCCUUCAAUCAUUUCAAAUCCCCCAGAAGCCUCCAUGAAUAGCAACUUACCUUUCAAAUAUGUUGCAGGAACCUUUUGCUCUGUUUAACAUUGGGAAAACAAACAAUUUUCAAAAACAGAAGUGGACUUCCAGCCCUGUUAGCCAUGCAACUAUAAAAGUCUGAGACCUUUUGUUUGUUGUGUUUUAGUCAGUAUAUUAAAUAUUUUUGUUUACCUUGA